GUCCCUUAGUGUAGGUAGUUUACUGCCGAGAAUUUGAUUAUCCAUUGAUCCAAUCAAAUAUAUUGUCUUUCGUGGCAUUUUUAACAAACGUCGACAAUUUUAUUUUAAUAAAUACAAAAAACAAUUUAAAAACUUAACUUUAAAUAGAAACAAUAAAAUAUCAUUAAUAUCAUACACAGCACAUGACGUUACGACGAUCACGGGUUGACUAACAAAUAAUAUUCAUAAAUUCUAUGGAAACUAUUUAAAGAUAAAUCGUAAUAUCUAAUAAUCGAUAAGAUAACUGAGUUAAUGGACUCAAUAAAAUAGGUAUUAACUAAAAGGUAUGUACA
This is a non-coding RNA of Cinara cedri, 332 nucleotides long. The record is from the annotation of a GenBank genome assembly. Lineage: Eukaryota; Metazoa; Arthropoda; Insecta; Hemiptera; Aphididae.